CGGGAAUUUUGGGCAAUGGGCGAAAGCCUGACCCAGCAACGCCGCGUGAGGGAUGAAGUAUUUCGGUAUGUAAACCUCGAAAGAAUGGGAAGAAUAAAUGACGGUACCAUUUAUAAGCUCCGGCUAACUACGUGCCAGUAGCCGCGGUAAUACGUAGGGAGCAAGCGUUGUUCGGAUUUACUGGGCGUAAAGGGCGUGUAGGCGGCGCGGUAAGUCACUUGUGAAAUCUCUGAGCCUAACUCAGAACGGCCAAGUGAUACUGCUGUGCUAGAGUGCGGAAGAGGCAACCGGAAUUCUUGGUGUAGCGGUGAAAUGCGUAGAUAUCAAGAGGAACACCUGAGGCGAAGGCGGGUUGCUGGGCCGACACUGACGCUGAUGCGCGAAAGCCAGGGGAGCAAACG
This 401-nucleotide ribosomal RNA is filed under the name uncultured bacterium. Its description in RNAcentral is "bacterial SSU rRNA". It matches the Rfam family "Bacterial small subunit ribosomal RNA", at positions 356 to 774 of the family's 1533-position model. The record is from RNAcentral.